AGUGGCACUACUAGAUCAUAAGGUAUGUGUGAUUUUUUGAGGAUCUGCUAGACUGUUUUCCAAAAUGGCUACACCAUUUUAAAUUCCCACAAACAGU
This 97-nucleotide microRNA precursor is filed under the name Marmota monax (woodchuck). Lineage: Eukaryota; Metazoa; Chordata; Mammalia; Rodentia; Sciuridae. The record is from RNAcentral.